GCUUGUCUCAAAGAUUAAGCCAUGCAUGUCUAAGUAUAACUCUUUUACUUUGAAAACUGCGAACGGCUCAUUAUAUCAGUUAUAGUUUAUUUGAUGGUCCUUGCUACUUGGAUAACCGUAGUAAUUCUAGAGCUAAUACAUGCAUCAAACCCCGACUUCUGGAAGGGGUGUAUUUAUUAGAUUUAAAGCCGACAUCUUUUGGUGAUUCAUAAUAACUUUUCGAACCUCAUGCCUUUAUGGUGGAGGUGAUUCAUUCAAAUUUCUGCCCUAUCAACUUUCGAUGGUAGGAUAGA
Molecule: ribosomal RNA, 293 nt
Filed under: uncultured fungus
Lineage: Eukaryota; Fungi
Description: partial small subunit ribosomal RNA
Rfam family: Eukaryotic small subunit ribosomal RNA
Source: RNAcentral